ACAGGGGUCAGUUAGUGCAGGGAGCAGUGCCUGGACGGCUUCUCCUCAAGUUAAGAAGCAGAGCAGCUGGCCCAGGGGAUAAGCAGCUCUCUCUCCCUCGCCAGCAUCUGACUUCCUGCCUGCAGCCCAGCGGCACUUCCUGUCUGCCCCCUGCUUAACUCCCUGCUCUCAGCAGCUGGCUCUCGGCUCAGCCCUCCUGCUCAUCCAUCCUUAACACACAUUCACACUGUGAGGCGGCCUCCCCCAGCCCCCAAAGAGGCCGUGCCCGCCGUGCUCGGGACGAUCUCUGCCACUUUCCAUUUGGCUCCUACCUACCGCCACAUGCUUGCGCCACAACAGGGCAGAGGAGGAGAGAGCCUUCCAGCUGCAAGCAUCCUUGGGAGGUGCCUCAAGAAGGCAAGGUUGGGGGGGAGUGGUGUGGUUUGCUUAAAAACCCGGGAACCUGGGAAAAAUAUUACUGUUUAAUUCGGGCCUACGGCCAAAUUCCACAGGACACGUGGUGGUAUAGUGUGGUCCAGAGUGUGCUGGCAGGAGCUGGAAGUCACCUCGACUCACCCUCUUUGUCCCUCUCUUUCCGAUGGCACACCCAAUUCUGGCCUCACUGUCACCUGGGGGACCAUCGCCAGGGUGACCCCCAGCUCUCCCCUAGACACCUCAGAGCAAGAAGGCACUGAGCCAUCUCAGCAGUUGUUACAGUAACCAUCACACCCGGAUCUCACCAGCCCCAGUUCGCAGGGGCUUGGAGGUUAACUAAAUCAUCUGGGAAUUGUCUCCCGGCAGGACUAGGGCUGUAGACGAAGACUUUCUGGCUCUGAAGACCGUGUUUUCACCUGCUGAGCUGUGCUGUGCCCAGAUCCCUAAGCUGGUCCUGCGGGGAAUGCUGAGGAAGCAGGGUGAUGUGAUCCCUCUUCCCCGGGAGGCCACAGCCGAACGGACAACAGGACACCGACAUUUCCUGAGCCCCCGACCCACAGUGGCCUCCAUUCCGUUACCUGCAUAGUUACAUUGCAGGGCAGAAAUAUCCCAAUUUUACGGCAAAGUAAACAGGAUCAGAGAGGCAAAGUAAGCUGCCCAAGAUCACACAGCUAAUGAGCGGUGGAGCUGGGGUUCGAUGGAGGUCCAUGUGGCUUCCAAGCCCGCAUUCUUUCCCACGCCCUGCCUGGCAGAUACAGAUACACGCUGAGGGAAGGUGGACCUGGUGGGCGGGUUGUUGCCACGGCCUCUUCUCCCCAACGUGGGAGAGUCAGGGACAGACACGGAGGUCCUGGAUGCUAGGUGUUGCCCAUCCUGGGGACACAAUACCCCAGGCUUGGACCACAGGCGAGGCCAUGCUCUUAGCAGCAGACGGCCCCAGUAAGGGGGUGACUGACAUAUACAGAACCCAAGGGAAGCUGGGCAUGGUGGCCAAGUGGGCGCGGGGGCUCCCCGAGAGGAGCCGCGGAAUCCACAUCAGAGAACUCAUGGCAGGGGGGAAGGUAGCCGCGUUUACAACCUGAUGAGAUCUUGGCUGGGUCUCUGAGGAGUCUCAUUAAAAAUCAAAUUGGCCCUGAAUUGUGGGAGUAACACUUUUUAUUCUGAUUUGAGCUUUACAAAUUAGAUUUCAUAGGACAUUUUAA
This is a long non-coding RNA of Herpailurus yagouaroundi (jaguarundi), 1616 nucleotides long. RefSeq lists it as uncharacterized. NCBI's taxonomy places the organism in Eukaryota, Metazoa, Chordata, Mammalia, Carnivora, Felidae. The record is from RefSeq and is a predicted model, not a curated record. The transcript is spliced from 2 exons.